RNAcentral lists this ribosomal RNA (301 nucleotides) under uncultured bacterium. RNAcentral describes it as "partial 16S ribosomal RNA". It matches the Rfam family "Bacterial small subunit ribosomal RNA", at positions 509 to 807 of the family's 1533-position model. The record is from RNAcentral.
CAGUAGCCGCGGUAAUACAGAGGGUGCGAGCGUUAAUCGGAUUUACUGGGCGUAAAGCGUGCGUAGGUGGCCAAUUAAGUCAAAUGUGAAAUCCCCGAGCUUAACUUGGGAAUUGCAUUCGAUACUGGUUGGCUAGAGUAUGGGAGAGGAUGGUAGAAUUCCAGGUGUAGCGGUGAAAUGCGUAGAGAUCUGGAGGAAUACCGGUGGCGAAGGCAACCAUCUGGCCUAAUACUGACACUGAGGUACGAAAGCAUGGGGAGCAAACAGGAUUAGAUACCCGCGUAGUCCCUGUCUCUUAUAC